Molecule: ribosomal RNA, 253 nt
Filed under: uncultured bacterium
Lineage: Bacteria
Description: partial 16S ribosomal RNA
Rfam family: Bacterial small subunit ribosomal RNA
Source: RNAcentral
UACGUAGGGCGCGAGCGUUGUCCGGAUUUAUUGGGCGUAAAGAGCUCGUAGGCGGCUUGUCGCGUCGUUCGUGAAAACCUGGGGCUCAACCCCAGGCUUGCGGGCGAUACGGGCAGGCUAGAGUUCGGUAGGGGAGACUGGAAUUCCUGGUGUAGCGGUGAAAUGCGCAGAUAUCAGGAGGAACACCGGUGGCGAAGGCGGGUCUCUGGGCCGAUACUGACGCUGAGGAGCGAAAGCGUGGGGAGCGAACAGG